GACGAACGCUGGCGGCGUGCUUAACACAUGCAAGUCGAACGGAAAGGCCCUGCUGUUGUGGGGUGCUCGAGUGGCGAAAGGGUGAGUAACACGUGAGUAACCUGCCCUUGACUUUAGGAUAACUUCAGGAGACUAGGGCUGAUACCGGCUAGGAGCUCCUGCUUCAGGGUGGGGGUUGGAAAGUUUCGGCGGUUGGGGAUGGACUCGCGGCGUAUCAGCUUGUUGGUGGGGUAGUGGCUUACCAAGGCUUUGACGGGUAGCCGGCCUGAGAGGGUGACCGGCCACAUUGGGACUGAGAUACGGCCCAGACUCCUACGGGAGGCAGCAGUGGGGAAUAUUGCACAAUGGGCGGAAGCCUGAUGCAGCAACGCCGCGUGCGGGAUGACGGCCUUCGGGUUGUAAACCGCUUUCGCCUGUGACGAAGCGUGAGUGACGGUAAGGGGUAAAGAAGCACCGGCUAACUACGUG
RNAcentral lists this ribosomal RNA (468 nucleotides) under uncultured bacterium. RNAcentral describes it as "partial 16S ribosomal RNA". It matches the Rfam family "Bacterial small subunit ribosomal RNA", at positions 28 to 507 of the family's 1533-position model. The record is from RNAcentral.